GCGUCUGUAGCGCAUUGGGUUAAGCACGCGCUCCUCCGAAGAGAGUGAGAUGAGGGUUCGAGUCCCGCCUGAAGUCA
Non-coding RNA from Parelaphostrongylus tenuis, 77 nucleotides. NCBI's taxonomy places the organism in Eukaryota, Metazoa, Nematoda, Chromadorea, Rhabditida, Metastrongylidae. The record is from the annotation of a GenBank genome assembly.